Molecule: ribosomal RNA, 1560 nt
Filed under: Triticum aestivum (bread wheat)
Lineage: Eukaryota; Viridiplantae; Streptophyta; Magnoliopsida; Poales; Poaceae
Description: partial small subunit ribosomal RNA
Source: RNAcentral
AUGGAGUCUAUCAUUGUACGUUCCAAUGAUCUGUUGCUGGACAAGUAUGAGAACUGGAUAUGUUUAUUGGCGCUUAAAGAGAAGAAAGAUUGCUUCAGACGCCUAUACCUGGAUAGGAGUGCAGACAACAUAGAGAAGUACAAGAUGGCGAAGAAGGCCGCAAAGCGAGCUGUUGGUGAAGCAAGGGGUCGGGCAUAUGAGGACCUCUACCAACGGUUAGGCACGAAGGAAGGUGAAAGGGACAUCUAUAAGAUGGCUAAGAUCCGGGAGAGGAAGACGAGGGAUAUUGGCCAAGUCAAAUGCAUCAAGGACGGAGCAGGCCAACUCUUGGUGAAGGACAAAGAGAUUAAGCAUAGAUGGCGGGAGUACUUCGACAAGCUGUUCAAUGGGGAGAAUGAGAGUUCUACCAUUGAACUGAAUGACUCCUUUGAUGAGACCAGCAUGCGUUUUGUGCGGCGCAUCCAGGAGUCUGAGGUGAAGGAGGCUUUAAAAAGGAUGAAAGGAGGCAAGGCGAUGGGCCCUGAUUGUAUCCCCAUUGAGGUGUGGAAAGGUCUCGGGGACAUAGCGAUAGUAUGGCUAACCAAGCUUUUCAACCUCAUUUUUCGGGCAAACAAGAUGCCAGAAGAAUGGAGACGGAGUAUAUUAGUACCAAUCUUCAAGAACAAGGGGGAUGUUCAGAGUUGUACUAAUUACCGUGGAAUUAAGCUGAUGAGCCAUACAAUGAAGCUAUGGGAGAGAGUCAUUGAGCACCGCUUAAGAAGAAUGACAAGCGUGACCAAAAAUCAGUUUGGUUUCAUGCCUGGGAGGUCGACCAUGGAAGCCAUUUUCUUGGUACGACAACUUAUGGAGAGAUAUAGGGAGCAUAAGAAGGACUUGCAUAUGGUGUUCAUUGACUUGGAGAAGGCCUAUGAUAAGAUACCGCAGAAUGUCAUGUGGUGGGCCUUGGAGAAACACAAAGUCCCAGCAAAGUACAUUACCCUCAUCAAGGACAUGUACAAUAAUGUUGUGACAAGUGUUCUAACAAGUGAUGUCGACACCGAUGACUUCCCGAUUAAGAUAGGACUGCAUCAGGGGUCAGCUUUGAGCCCUUAUCUUUUUGCAUUGGUGAUGGAUGAGGUCACAAGGGGUAUACAAGGAGAUAUCCCAUGGUGUAUGCUCUUUGCGGAUGAUGUGGUGCUAGUUGACGAUAGUCGGACGGGGGUAAAUAGGAAGUUAGAGUUAUGGAGACAAACCUUGGAAUCGAAAGGGUUUAGGCUUAGUAGAACUAAAACCGAGUACAUGAUGUGCGGUUUCAGUACUACUAGCUGUGAGGAGGAGGAGGUUAGCCUUGAUGGCCAGGUGGUACCUCGGAAGGACACCUUUCGGUAUUUGGGGUCAAUGUUGCAGGAGGAUGGGGGUAUUGAUGAAGAUGUGAACCAUCGAAUCAAAGCCGGAUGGAUGAAGUGGCGCCAAGCUUCUGGCAUUCUCUGUGACAAGAGAGUGACAAAAGCUAAAAGGCAAGUUCUACAGGACGGCGGUUCGACCCGCAAUGUUGUAUGGCGCGGAGUGUUGGCCGACUAA